RNAcentral lists this ribosomal RNA (381 nucleotides) under uncultured eukaryote. Its description in RNAcentral is "partial 18S ribosomal RNA". It matches the Rfam family "Eukaryotic small subunit ribosomal RNA", at positions 592 to 976 of the family's 1831-position model. The record is from RNAcentral.
CAAUAGCGUAUAUUAAAGCUGUUGCGGUUAAAAAGCUCGUAGUUGGAUUUCUGUCAAGGACAACUGGUCCGCCCCUCGGGUGAGCACAUAGUUUGGUCUUGGCAUCUUGUUGGAAACUGUUGCUGCACUUGGUUGUGUGGCGCAGUGUCCAGCACUUUCACUUUGAGGAAAUUGGAGUGUUUCAAGCAGGCACAUGCCUUUGGACACAGUAGCAUGGAAUAAUUAGAUUGGGCUUUUGCUCCAACUUGUCGGUUUCUGGAGCUGAGGUGAGAAUUAAUGGGGAUUGUUGGGGGCAUCCGAAUUUAGCCGUCAGAGGUGAAAUUCUUGGAUCUGCUAAAGACGGGCAACUGCGAAAGCGUUUGCCCAGGAUGUUUUCAUUGA